CUGCCAGCUCCCCGUACACACACACGCACACACACACACGCACACACAAACACAAACCCAUGCACACCGUCAAGCACACACACAUCCAAGUAGGCCUGUGUGUAGGCGUGCAAACACACCCUGGCUCAAACAUUUCAACACACACACACAGAUUCUUCGUAGGACCAACUUCUCCUUUUUACUCAAGAAAAUAAGCACAUGACACAGUAAACCAAAUGAAGCUGCUCUUAAGUUACUUGGCAUCUCCCCACCUCUCUCUCUUUAGUAGAUAACAAAACUGUUUUACGGAGAAUUUGAUACUCUUGACGGGAAGAGAUAGAGAGAACCAACUAGAGAGAAUAAGGGAGGGGUGAGAGAAAGGAGGGAGUGAACAGGAGGGAGGGACAGAGGAAGAGAGCGAGAGAAAGGUGCUUCAUACAAGUACUAGUGCAGGGGACGUCAUCCACACAAGUUAAAGUCUAAUGCCUUUAUGGUGGAUUGAUCAUUUCAAACCCAACCGUUCUCUCCAAGCAACGUGUGGGUCUCGUGACUUUUUUGGUUCACCGUUGCUGCAAUCUCUCACGCUGCACCUGAAAUAGACAGCUGACAUACAGAAAAGUAAAGUGAAGUGCAGGGGGAGGAGAAAACGGAAGAGCGAGAGAGGAAGAGAAGGGUUGUGUCUUUCCGGCCUAUUUGCACACAAGUACACCCUAGUUAACCACAAGCCCAGCAACCAGGAGAGACAGCAAGAGAACAAAAGUUUGACUACGUAAAUGCACUUCAAAUGCUUAACACUCAGUCAAACCUUAGAUUAUUAACAAGAGCAAGGCCUGAAAGAAAGGGAAAAUUUGAGAGCAGUGAAGAUCAAGGCCUGACACAACCCUAGUCAAACCAAGAACCUCGGUAGCUGAUGACGGAUACUGCUUUUCUUUUCUAGAAUGUGAAUUUUUCUCCUCUAGACUUGUAAAACAAACCUGCAAUACCUUUCAAGCCACAAGGCUGUCACUGACGCACCUCAGAGAGAGGAAGACAAACAUAAUCUGAGAGAGGUCAGCAAAACCCUUUUUAGUGACUGUUGACCUCCGUGACCCCUCUCAGUUCUUGCCCAGUAUGGAGUGGGUACGACUGAUGCUCGGGGCUAUGCUCCUCUCCCUCUCUCUGCCCAGUCUCCCUGCCCAAGAUAAUGUCCCCAUCACUGUACCUGAAUAUGGCAUGGCAGCACCUACUACUGAGGACGGCACGAUGGCAGCCUCUUCACCCGAGGCCACCACCAAGACAACGACUGCUCCCGUGGUCGUCACUACAGCACAGCCUGUCACUGAAAUCACCCUGGUAACUUCUGUUCCAGUACUUAUCAUAGAUAACAUCACUAUAGUACUAACAGACCCUGAGAUCGCAACCAUUCAGGAGCCCACCUCUGAUGCACCAACUACUACUUCAGAGGCUGAGACGAUGACACCAUCCCCUGUGAUCACUGAAGGGCCUGUAGAUACGACCACUCCACCUGGCCCAAAAUCCACCCUCUCCCAAGACGUCCUGACUACCACCUCUUAUCUCCCAACCACAUCCCAGGACCACCUGACUUCUGUUAUCCCAGUCGGGCCCCUCCACACCACCCCUCAUCUGACGAACGACUCCUUUACUACACCUGAACCUAUCCACACUGCCUCAGAGAGUACUGCCAGCCACACAGAGGGACUUACCCAAGCACCCGCCUCCCCAUCGGUCAACAGCGCUCCCAGCCAUUUCACAACCCCCGCUACGACCUCCUCCUCCACAGAUCAUGACUCUACGGUGGGCAGGGUCAAGCGAAGUCCGCUCAGCUUGUUCUGGAUCAUCAUCGCCAGUCUCCUGGUCUGUGUUAUAUUCCCGGGCAUGGUCUACUGCAUAUAUCUGGGCGUCAGACGAAAGAGGCAGUGCCGCACUGAGUACUUUGGGUCCGGCGUCCGGAACGGGAAGAGUUCCAAGUGGAAGAAAGGAGCAGAGGAAGAUGCCUGGGCGGGGCCAGUGAAGCUAGGGGGCGGGGACAGGGAGGAGGGUGAGGGCGUGGAGGAGGGAGGGAGCCCAGAGGACAACAAGAGAGAGGGGGCUGGAACAGAUGUUGUGCUGAGCACAUUCAUAGCCAACGAGACCGAGGGAGAGAGGGGUGGGCCUGAUGGGGCAGUUGGAGUGGCUGGGAGCAAGGAGGCGGAGAAAUGGGAGGAGAAGGAGCCUCUGUUGUACAUUGAUGAGGGAGUGGAGGAGGUGCUGGAGAUAAUGGCUCCUCCUUCACUUUCAAAAUCUGACUCUGAGAAAAAGACAGGAGGGGGCAACAGAGAGGGAGAAAGUGAAAAGGAGAUGGAGAGGGGAGAAGGGAAUGGAAAGAAAGAAAAUGAGAGUGAAAGAGGUGAGCAGAAUGGAGGAGCGGCAUUCUGUCUAACGACUGCAGUUUAAAAAUAGAACAGUUUUCCAUGAAAAAAAAAGGUUUUCUAGAUGAUAAUUGUAAAGGUUUCUAAUAUUUUUGUACUACUGAAAAGGCCUUUAACAUUGUAUUGAUCUGUGAUUGUGUGCUCUAUCAACAAAACAAAUGGUUGUGUGUAUAGCCAUACGUUUUACCAGUUGUAUUUUGUAUGGUGUUAUUUCUUAACCGUUUUCAGUUUAAUAAAGUUUUAGGAUGUGGAGAGAAUGUGCUAGAAUGAAGUUGUUGAACUUGACAGAAUAUGAAUACUUUUUGCUUAAUCAUUUGCUGUCCGCAAAUGCACUUUAUUUCUGGAACUGCUGGACUCAAUAGCACUCAAUUCAUAGGGAGGAAUCUUGACGUCCACUGAAGUUGAAUAUUCACUUAAUCAUGCAUUGAUGUCAAUGGGAGACUAAGUGAAUAUUUGACUUCAGUAGAAGUUAGGAUUUGUCUCAUAGUUAGGCUUUGAUUUUAUGUGUUGCCGAUUAUGGCCACUAGGUGGUGUCUUUCCCUAUCUUUAUGAUCAGAGAACAGUUCAAUUAUGUAACCUGCAGUAAAGAGCUGGUGUGGUGGUGACGCACAGGCCUUCCGUUCUAUUGGUCUGUUUUUGCACAGUUGCAUCUGUUGCAAACAUCUAGCAGAAAAACAACAGGUACCUCAAGCAGAGAUCAAACACAGUUUUUCAGGCAAACAACUAAAUCAGGGAAAACCCUCUGCUGUGAUCACACAUGAAACCUAGAUAUAACAACAACCACUUUUACUAAGAUUGAUCACUGUAAAGGCAAUGUCCUUGGUAGGACAUGUUACGUACGUAAGCCAAAAUGUUCUAUUUUAUCCUGGUCAAAACUCCACUACACCCC
Long non-coding RNA from Oncorhynchus tshawytscha (Chinook salmon), 3276 nucleotides. The record is from Ensembl. NCBI's taxonomy places the organism in Eukaryota, Metazoa, Chordata, Actinopteri, Salmoniformes, Salmonidae.